Camelus ferus (Wild Bactrian camel) is the source of this 72-nucleotide transfer RNA. It matches the Rfam family "tRNA". From Rfam's summary of the family: Transfer RNA (tRNA) molecules are approximately 80 nucleotides in length. Their secondary structure includes four short double-helical elements and three loops (D, anti-codon, and T loops). Lineage: Eukaryota; Metazoa; Chordata; Mammalia; Artiodactyla; Camelidae. The record is from Rfam.
GGAGGUAUAGCUCAGCGGUAGAGUAUGUGCUUAGCAUGUGUGAGGUCCUGGGUUCAAUCCCCAGUACCUCCA